This 422-nucleotide ribosomal RNA is filed under the name uncultured bacterium. RNAcentral's name for it is "partial 16S ribosomal RNA". It matches the Rfam family "Bacterial small subunit ribosomal RNA", at positions 360 to 774 of the family's 1533-position model. The record is from RNAcentral.
AAUUUUGGACAAUGGGGGCAACCCUGAUCCAGCCAUCCCGCGUGUGCGAUGAGGGCCUUCGGGUUGUAAAGCACUUUUGGCAGGGACGAAAAGGCUCUGGCUAAUACCUGGAGCUGCUGACGGUACCUGCAGAAUAAGCACCGGUCAACUACGUGCCAGCAGCCGCGGUAAUACGUAGGGUUCAAGCGUUAAUCGGAAUUACUGGACGUAAAGCGUGCGCAGGCGGUUCGGCAAGAAGGAUGUGAAAUCCCAGGGCUUAACCUUGGAACUGCAUUCUUAACUGCCGGGCUAGAGUAUGUCAGAGGGGGGUAGAAUUCCGCGUGUAGCAGUGAAAUGCGUAGAGAUGCGGAGGAAUACCGAUGGCGAAGGCAGCCCACUGGGAUAAUACUGACGCUCAUGCACGAAAGCGUGGGGAGCAAAUA